CGGCCUGAGAGGGCGACCGGCCACACUGGGACUGAGACACGGCCCAGACUCCUACGGGAGGCAGCAGUGGGGAAUAUUGGGCAAUGGAGGAAACUCUGACCCAGCGACGCCGCGUGCGGGAUGAAGGCCUUCGGGUUGUAAACCGCUUUCAGYAGGGAANAAGCGAAAGUGACGGUACCURCAAAAGAAGCACCGGCUAACUAUGUGCCAGCAGCCGCGGUAAUACAUAGGGUGCAAGCGUUGUCCGGAAUUAUUGGGCGUAAAGAGCUCGUAGGUSGUUUGUUACGUCGGAUGUGAAAAYCUGNGGCUCAACCYCNGGCCUGCAUYCGAUACGGNCAAACUAGAGUUUGGUAGGGGA
This 358-nucleotide ribosomal RNA is filed under the name uncultured bacterium. Its description in RNAcentral is "partial 16S ribosomal RNA". It matches the Rfam family "Bacterial small subunit ribosomal RNA", at positions 288 to 658 of the family's 1533-position model. The record is from RNAcentral.